This 513-nucleotide ribosomal RNA is filed under the name swine fecal bacterium FPC52. Its description in RNAcentral is "bacterial SSU rRNA". It matches the Rfam family "Bacterial small subunit ribosomal RNA", at positions 7 to 502 of the family's 1533-position model. The record is from RNAcentral.
GAGAGUUUGAUCCUGGCUCAGGAUGAACGCUGGCGGCGUGCCUAAUACAUGCAAGUCGAGCGAACAGACGAGGAGCUUGCUCCUCUGACGUUAGCGGCGGACGGGUGAGUAACACGUGGAUAACCUACCUAUAAGACUGGGAUAACUUCGGGAAACCGGAGCUAAUACCGGAUAAUAUAUUGAACCGCAUGGUUCAAUAGUGAAAGACGGUUUUGCUGUCACUUAUAGAUGGAUCCGCGCCGCAUUAGCUAGUUGGUAAGGUAACGGCUUACCAAGGCAACGAUGCGUAGCCGACCUGAGAGGGUGAUCGGCCACACUGGAACUGAGACACGGUCCAGACUCCUACGGGAGGCAGCAGUAGGGAAUCUUCCGCAAUGGGCGAAAGCCUGACGGAGCAACGCCGCGUGAGUGAUGAAGGUCUUCGGAUCGUAAAACUCUGUUAUUAGGGAAGAACAAAUGUGUAAGUAACUAUGCACGUCUUGACGGUACCUAAUCAGAAAGCCACGGCUAACU